This 1890-nucleotide long non-coding RNA is filed under the name Gossypium barbadense (sea-island cotton). RNAcentral describes it as "long non-coding RNA (GBAR_LNC018112)". The record is from RNAcentral. Lineage: Eukaryota; Viridiplantae; Streptophyta; Magnoliopsida; Malvales; Malvaceae.
AAAAACUACUUUUCUAUUUAUAAACCACUACACAAGUAGUGUGUAUUUCUUUUGUUAUAUAUAUAAACACAACUCCGCAUAUAUGAAUUAUCUACCAAAUACUCACGAAAGGUUUUUAAGAAAAUAUUAGUUAGUAAAGCCAUCCAAGAGGGAAUAUGCUACUAAUGUGAAAUGAGCAAAAUUACGUAGUAAAUAUGUCUUCAUGAGACUGUUGUAUUUAUUUCUUCAAGAACCAGAAGAACUAUUAGUGAAGGCACAAUAGUUUAUUGUCUCGACCCUCUGUAUCCCCAUACCUCACCAUGCAAUGAAUAGAGUACAUCAAGCAGGGGUUUAUCCCUCCCCAUAAAUAUAUCGUACUGGUCUUUGCCUUAUACAAAUUUCCCGAAACACAACUUUGGAAUUUUAAUAUUUGGAACUCCUAAGCUACCUGAAAUAACAACAAGUUACCAUGACUAAAGUGCAUACAUACAUAUAUGAAAGUUUCUCAAGCAAUGAUAAUAUAAUUAAUUGCUAAAUAUCUUUAUUGAUUUUAUGGAGAGACAAUCAGACAAAGUCAUGUCAAAUUAAUGAUGGGACAAAAAGGUUUUCUGGACUUUUAAAGUUAUGAAUGCAUCUAUCAGGCUCAAGCAUUUCCAACAUCUAAUUUAUGGCUUACAUCUCAAAGCAAAAAAUGCAAAUUAUCAGGCUUAAAGAUCAUAAUAUACACAACAAAUGUAGUGGCCCUGCAAGGUCUGCAUCAUGUCAUGCAUGCAUAGAUACAUUACAUUACUACAAGUAUAUUUACAGCUUUAUCGGUCUAUAACACGGUUGCAUAAUCAAAAAUUAUCAAACAUGUCGGAGAGUGCAUGUCCGAAUCGAAGUACAAAGGCAAAAAUAUACAAGUUUCUUCUCACUGCAGUAUAGUAUAAACAAACUUCUAUUGCCUGCAAAGGAUGGAAGAUGCUAACUCAAGCCUUACAACAGCGCAUACAUCACAAGGUGCAUGCGAGCCAAUGGCGCCUCAAGAGACAUGAAACUUUACACAGUUAGAAUCUUCACAUUUACCCCAAAAGUACAAACUUCAAACAACAGAAAAAGGUAGACGAACUAGCUUUUUAUAGUGUCAAACAUGUUGCAAUGCAACAAAAUAUUCAGAUUGAUCUUCUCCGGUAAAACAAAAGGUUAACAUUUAGAGUUUAAAACAAACGAAAAAUGAAAAAACAAUUGGAAACAGACUAUUAAACAAAUGAAAAAAUGAAAAAUAAUUUUUGAUAUAUAUAUGCUAAAUAAAAACCCAAAAUGGCAAUCGGUCUUGAAUCUCAAUCUCUUAACAAUUCAAGAAACAAAUUCCAAUUCCAAAAAAUCCCAGUCUCUUAACAAAAACAAAAAAAAGGCUAAUUCAAGAACUAAGCUUGAAAAAUAACCAAAACCACCAAUUAAAAUCUUGGUCAGCUUACCCUGAAAAAUCACAUAGAAAGAGAAAAAGAAAAACUCACAUGUGGCCAUGGAGAAAGCAACGAAUUUACAGAGUAGCCAAAAUACAAUAACUUUGAAGAACAAAAAUAAUCAGGGAAAUAGACAAAGAGAAAAGCAACAAGUUAAACCCCAUGAAGGAAAUUUCAACUGCUCAUUUACAAAGUAAUCAACAUAAAAGAUAGUGAUAUACCUUGAUAGGAUUGGAAAGCUAGAUUUUUGGGUUUCUUCUAAAUGCAGACUUGGUAAGGACGACGAGAUGACGAGACUCAGAUUCGAAGGUGAGGCCAACGAAUAGAGAUGAUGAGGAGAGGCGGAGGCUGAUGGACAGAGAGGAAGGAGAACGACUGCUGUGAUGAGAGGGGAGGAAAAUGGAAAAUGUCUUACAGAAAUAAAAUCAGUAAGACCUUUUCCGUAAAAAGCCAUUUCAUUUAUCCG